GUAAGAGUGUAAACUGCAGUUUUAAAUCCUCAUCGGUGCCUUAAAAAUGUCAAGAAAAAUUCUAUAAUGAAAAACUAUAAAAACUUUUA
Molecule: long non-coding RNA, 89 nt
Organism: Sinocyclocheilus grahami
Lineage: Eukaryota; Metazoa; Chordata; Actinopteri; Cypriniformes; Cyprinidae
Exons: 3
Source: RefSeq, a predicted model, not a curated record